UAGCUGAGUCGGUAAAGAAUCUGCCUGCAAUGCAGGAGACCUGGGUUUGAUUCCUAG
Molecule: transfer RNA, 57 nt
Filed under: Bos taurus (domestic cattle)
Lineage: Eukaryota; Metazoa; Chordata; Mammalia; Artiodactyla; Bovidae
Also listed under: 3 other names
Rfam family: tRNA
About the family: Transfer RNA (tRNA) molecules are approximately 80 nucleotides in length. Their secondary structure includes four short double-helical elements and three loops (D, anti-codon, and T loops).
Source: Rfam by way of RNAcentral